UUCCAAAGUGUUGAGUUCAGUUCAGGGCAGCACCCCCUGUUCUGUUAAUUAAACUUUGGGACAUUGAAACAGGCUAGGGAAGAUGAUUGGAUAGAAAGCAUUACUCUAUUCAUUUACUUCCCAGCCUACAAAA
This 133-nucleotide small nucleolar RNA is filed under the name Rhinolophus ferrumequinum (greater horseshoe bat). Lineage: Eukaryota; Metazoa; Chordata; Mammalia; Chiroptera; Rhinolophidae. The record is from RNAcentral.